CUGCUCUCUGGAAAAAGAGCAAACAAAGCAAUUUCAGCAAACAGUGGAGGACAGGCCCUGCUCUUACAGGAAGCCCAUGUUCACCCAGAAAUGCAUCAUCCCGGCCCAGGCACAUCUGGUUUCCUCUACACUCUUCACCCAGGGACACAGGGAUAGUUCUACCCAGCCUCACUCACUUCAGAAGGGCCUCCAGCUCCCGCUUAACUCUGCCCACGACGGGUGGUCCCCAGAAGGUGAGGGCCGUGUACAGCUGCACCAGGGAGGCCCCUGCCCGGAUCUUCUCCAGCGCGUCCUGCCCGCUGCUCACGCCACCAACCCCAAUUAUGGGAACUCGGCCUACAGAGAAGCACAUGGUGACACUGUAAAGAAGGAUAUGGCUUCCGCCCCAGAGUCCCCCACAAUCAAGGCAGAUUAGGGAAUGAUGAUUCCCAUCAGGACCCAGGAGCCCAAGCCACACGCAGAUCUGAAGACACAGAUGCCGGAAGCCUUGCCUUGGGUGAGUGCAUACAUCUCCCGAAUGGUUUGAGUUGAUAAAUCCCGGAGGGGCUUCCCACUCAGCCCUCCUGUUUCAGAGCGCAGGGCACCCUGGAGGCCAGCAGGGCGACUCACGGUGGUGUUCGUAACAAUCAGCCCAUCGAUGCCCAACUGCAGUGUGAGAUGGAGAAAAAGCCAUGAGUCAUGGCACCGAAGGACGCAGAGGCGCUCCUCUGGGAGUCAAAGGCAGCAGCCGGGCCAGGUACCCACACCUACAGCCCCCAAAGCAAGAGCUACACCAGACCUUACUACUCAUCUUUUCCUCAACAAGUUUUAGAAUGAGCCAUAACGUGACAACAGCAGCCAUCACACACUGACGACCCACAGCAUUCCCCUAGGACAGGGUCCAGUCCUUAAAACAACCCAAUUACAGUGUCUUGUCUGAGGCCCUCAGGUAGUAAGUGGUGGAACCAUGAUUUGAACCCAUGACGGCCAGGCUCAGGCUAUUUCCACUACUCUCCUAUGCCACAGAGACCCGCUGUCCAGACAGGCUAGAGAGAGGAGUGAGGGAAAGAAUUUUGAGUGCCGGUCAAGACUGGCCAAGGACCCAGGCUCAAGCCUUAACCUUGCUGGAUGCAGAUGAGGAAACAGAGGAGGCAUGAGAAAAACUCCUUCAAGCAUUGAUUCCAACAUUCACUUUUGACCACAGGGUGAGUCCAUGACAGACACCAAACCAGCCUUCAAUACCAAGGAGAGGAAAUCAUAAAGGCCACCAUUCUGAGCUAACCCAGCUGGCCAAACAGCCUCUGCAGACCAUGGGAGGCACACCCUGGGCCCAGGCCCCGACUCAAACCUCUUUGACCACACUGGCAAUGUCCUCCUUGUCCUGGGCGGUGAGGUCAGGAGCGAUCUUCACCAGCACUGCCGGCCUGUGCACUCCCUGCAAGCCGUCCCUCUCCUGCAGCACCUAGGGCGACACACGGCCAGAGCUGGGGACCCUGCAGACCGCAGCCCCCCAGUGCAGCUGCGACCUACACUGCAGUGUGGAGUAAGAGCACUGGAGAAACAGCAUGGACAGAGCACAAACUCUCAAGUCCAGUAAGCCCAGGCCAUGCCCAAGCUCUCCUGCUUAUUAUCUCCGUGACCGAAGCAGAGUUAUUUGGUUCUACGAGCCUCCGUCUACACAACUGUUAAAUGGACGUGACAAAGCCUGCUUUUCAAGAUAGAUGCCUGGGGCACAUAGUAGAUGCUGAACGGGGUUCCUGAACAUUCCAAACGACAGAAGAAUAUCCACAUUGUAUGAGAGAAAAAAACAGAGGCAGAUCUUACAUCUCUGAAAGCCCAGCUGGAAAGAGGGCAUCCCCCAUGAACUCUGGGCCGCUCACUUACCUGUUAAUGACAGCUUGGUCCUCGGGGAGACGGAAGACUCUGGGUCUGGGGUUUCCUUCCUGAGGUUUUGGAGUCACACUUCCUAUCUCAACAAAACCAAAGCCCAUCUUAUAAAGUCCGUCCACGGCUUCCCCAUGCUUGUCAAAUCCUGCAGCAAUUCCUACUGGAUUUCGGAAUUUAUGGCCCAGAACUCUCACUUCCUGGGAAGAGGAAGACAAAGUCAGAGGCACGCAAGGCUAUCCCGGUGUUUCUCAAAGCAUGGUUCCUGGCACGGCUACACCAGAAUGACCUGGGAAGCUUGUGAAACCUCAGAUCCCAGGGCCCACCCCCAAGGUCAAAAUCUUUGGGGGAGGAAUGGAGCACUGGGGGAACCUAUUUUUAACAGUGCUGGCUCUCCAGGGGACUGUGACGCCUACUAGAGUUUGAAAACCACGGGGCUUUAUUAUUAGCAAGCCUGGGGGGAGAAACGGUGUUUCCACCAUGGGUUGAACAGGAGACAAGCGCUGCCUUUUCCAAUUGUGGUUAAGGUUCAUACCUUCUUAUCAACUAGCCUUGGUGGGAGAGAGUAGCUCGCUGGUGUCAGGCCCUAGAUAGUGCCUCCCUGAAACCAAGGCAUGGUAAGCAGCAAACCCUUUAAUCAGCUUAAUAAACAUCAGCUCCAGCUGUGUCCCUCCUCAUCCAGGCUGGUAAGAAGCCCCAGCCACGACCUCCAGCCUCCCACAGGGAACCCGAGGAAGGAAGGUGUUCAGCUGGGCAGAACUGACUGAUGGGCUCCAGCGACCUUUCAGGAGACUAGCAAAGGCCUCCCAGGGUGAACACCGUGGGAUCCUGGAAGCAGGGGCUAAGAGAGAUACUCCAAGAAAGAACAACAACAAAUGAAGGUGAGAAUGCUCGCAGCACCUCAGGAGACUGGGAGGCAAGAUGUGUGUGGCUGGACUAGGGGCCUUCCUCCAGGACUGCGGUUCUCAGCUCCGGCUGUACCACAGAGGCCCCUGGCAGCUUUCAGGUCCCACUCUCAGAUGUGGCGGUGAAACUGGUCUGGCACCAGGCCAGGGCAUCUGGAUACUCCAAAUGCAACCCCGGGGGAUUCUAACAUGCCUGACACAGGUGAAGGGUGGAGAGCUAAACCAGGAAAGCUGUGAAAUCAUCAAGAGUCCUGGCUACCAAGUUAAAAAGUUUGAGUCACAUUCUAAAUGAGCUGCUGCAAGCGUGGGCACAGGCAGCGGUGUUUAGGACAACACCUCCGAGGUCAGGUUUGCCUGUCUCUGUCAUCUGUGUCUACACAGACAUAGCCUGCGCCCUCAGGCACACACUUCCUUCUAAAUUCUCCUCAUCUCUGCAUCCCACUCAUUAUUCACUCCCAUUCACUCCAGGGCUCUCAAACUAGCAGUCUGGGUUGAGGACAGUUUAACAGAGUGCUCUGUCUGAGCCUACAGUGCCUGUUAGUGUGUGAGCAUGGCGAGUCAGGGGAAAUGACACAUCUGCUCAACAGCAUACAAUCAGAGAGUGAAAAGGAGUCUAAGGUCGGAAGGGGAAAUGCGGUGAAGGCCCCUUUAAUUUGUAACAGUGACCCUUCCUCCCCAGAGUUCUGAGGACUUCUUGUUUGCGUUUUCACACUCAAAUCAUUCCGAUGUCCUCCCAUUUGAAAAGAAGCCUCUCAAAAGGAAACUGCCGAGACUUCCAUGAGGAAGCAGCUUCUAUGAGGAUGGGGAUUCUUCUAUUCGGUUUGCUGCACUAAGCCCGGAAGGUUGCAUGAAACAGAGGCCCUUAGCCAUCUGCUGACACUGGCCUCUACAGUUAGAGGCUGUAUCUACACUUCUGCCUACACACCCUCUUCCAGCCCUAAAGGCUUUCCUGGGACUCUAGGCCAAAGAUUUCAAGCAUGUGGAGAGGGCCUGUGUGCUGAACAUACGGCUGAGUGAGGCUGGGACCCAACGCUCCUGUCUCGCACGGUGCUCAAUGACUCUGGCAGUUUCCCCAUUUAGCCAAGGGGAAGACUGAGCUACCUGCAACCUCAGCAAGGCAGGACAGCGGCCAAGGGGCAGGAAGCCAGUGUCAGACUCCGUGGGUUUGAAUCCUGGUCCUGCUACCCCCUAGCUGUGUGACUGGAGUUCCUUUCUGUUAUUCCUUACUCUGUUUCUUGGUCUCCUGAUCCAUGGCUGGGGAUGGUAACAGAUCUAGCUCAUGCAGUAGCUGGGAGGAUCAAACAAGAACAUCGCCUAACACAAUCCCAUAUAUGUAAUAGAUAAUCAUCAUUGCUAAUUACAUGACACAAAAAAAGAAU
This is a non-coding RNA of Chlorocebus sabaeus (green monkey), 4147 nucleotides long. Lineage: Eukaryota; Metazoa; Chordata; Mammalia; Primates; Cercopithecidae. The record is from RefSeq and is a predicted model, not a curated record.